CUACGGGGGGCUGCAGUGGGGAAUAUUGCACAAUGGACGAAAGUCUGAUGCAGCAACGCCGCGUGGAGGAUGACACAUUUCGGUGCGUAAACUCCUUUUAUAUAGGAAGAUAAUGACGGUACUAUAUGAAUAAGCACCGGCUAACUCCGUGCCAGCAGCCGCGGUAAUACGGAGGGUGCAAGCGUUACUCGGAAUCACUGGGCGUAAAGAGCGUGUAGGCGGAUAGAUAAGUCAGGAGUGAAAUCCUAUGGCUCAACCAUAGAACUGCUCUUGAAACUGUCAAUCUAGAGUGUGGGAGAGGUAGAUGGAAUUUCUGGUGUAGGGGUAAAAUCCGUAGAGAUCAGAAGGAAUACCGAUUGCGAAGGCGAUCUACUGGAACAUAACUGACGCUGAGACGCGAAAGCGUGGGGAGCAAACAGGAUUAGAUACCCCGGUAGUC
RNAcentral lists this ribosomal RNA (439 nucleotides) under uncultured bacterium. RNAcentral's name for it is "partial 16S ribosomal RNA". It matches the Rfam family "Bacterial small subunit ribosomal RNA", at positions 339 to 795 of the family's 1533-position model. The record is from RNAcentral.